Oryctolagus cuniculus (rabbit) is the source of this 122-nucleotide small nucleolar RNA. The record is from Ensembl. NCBI's taxonomy places the organism in Eukaryota, Metazoa, Chordata, Mammalia, Lagomorpha, Leporidae.
AAGCAGUUCUCUGUAGCAGACUAUUAAAACUGUCACAGUUUGGGCUUGUUAUAGCAAGGAAGUCUAACCUAGUCUGGUAUUGUCUCCUCUGUGAGACAAGCCAUUAUACAGAUCUAAACAGU